CGUGGAUCGGAUCGGUAACUGCUGAAGAAACGGAAAUCGAAUCAGCCAACGAAACUGAAAACGGUGUCUUGGAUUUGUUAAGAAGUUGCCGUUGAGUUCGUCUCGUACAAAUCUUCACGUGCAUUCUGAAGCCCGCAAAAGGAUUAACUACAAAGAGCUGCAUAGGCAGUAAAAAAGACUUAAACGAAGAAGAAGCAUCUAUCUUCACAUAUGGCCACCCGAGUCCACCCUCCUCUUCUUCUCUUCUCUCCAGCGUCCGAGGCACAAGGCACUGAUGGCUAGCGCGAAUCGUGCGGAAGACUGACGAGCGCGCUGAAGAAAGUAUGAAAUUAUUUUGCAACAUUUAUUCAUCCCCGAUCCCCGAUCAAACCCCGACUGUAGAAGCUGUGCUGUGCGAUCCACUGCUGUUGUGCAUCGGUUCCAGCUAAACAUCUAAACUCGGCGAAGUAGAGGCACACAUACCGACAACAAUUUCAUCAAAAGCAUCGACUAAAUUUUAAUUUAAGUAUUUGUUUUAAGCUUUCUUUGAUAAAUUUUCAUUUUGUUUCGUUUAAUUAUACUGAUCUUAAAUUUCUUUUUUUCUUUUUUCAUUCUAAAUUAAUCGUUUCCUUCUUCCAUCUAAUACGGUUUUACAUUUUCACUCGUUAGAUUUGUCUUGUUUCUAUUUUUGAAUUAUUUAUUAAAAUUUCCUUGCAAACUUCACUGCUAAUAUAAUUUAAAUAUGUGUGUUAUUUUAUUUUGAUUUAAAAUUCAAAUAACAUUUUCUUUUUAUUUGUUUUAGAUCUUUCUACGAAAUUCAUUGACUUAAAAUUUUAAUUUGUUAUAAAAAAUCAUUGGUUUAAUUGGCUUUUAGUUUUACAUAUUUUUCAUUUAUCUCUGACCCUUCCGCUGGAGAGCAUUUUUACCAUGUCAGUUUAUUUUUGUUUUAAUUUGUUUUAUUAUUUCGUUGUUUUCAUGGUAGUUUUUUGCCUACAUGCUAUCCUUUAAAUUUACCAGAAAUUUUCAACAUAAAUUAAUCGUUUUUUUUUUCUAAAACACCAAUUUAUUUAAGUUUUGAGUAAAUGUUUUCUUAAAAUAUUUUUGAUAUAAAAUUGCUCUUAAUUAUUUUUUUAUACCAAAAUCUGUAUUUUAACAAUUAAAAGUUUGAAAUAACAUUCAACAAGAAUUUUUUUAAGAAUCGUUUAAAUUUAUUAAUAUUACUUUCGAAAUUGAUUAAAAGUGUUUGUUUCUUUAAUCUUUCUUAAAUUCAAACACAAAAAUUUCUAAAAGGUUAUAUCUGUUUUAACGUUCGUUUUAAAGUAAAUAUUAUACUAUGCGUCAAUUUUAUAAUUUCAAUUUUGAAAAAUUUCAUCAUGAUUAAAUUUUUCUUCACUAUAAACCAAUAAUUUUUUUGUCAAAAAUUUAGUUUAGAACAUAUAUAAUUUGAAUAUUGCUUCGAUUAAAAUUAUGAUUACUGAGGAAAAAUUCAGGAAUAUCAUUUAUUAAGCAAAAUGCCUGAUUGAACAAUAUCUACCUCACUCUUUUUAUGUUCUUAUGGCUUGAGUUAGUCAUGUAAGACCCAUUUUAGUUUUAAGACUAUAGAUGUAACAG
This is a long non-coding RNA of Anopheles stephensi (Asian malaria mosquito), 1590 nucleotides long. RefSeq lists it as uncharacterized. The transcript is spliced from 3 exons. Lineage: Eukaryota; Metazoa; Arthropoda; Insecta; Diptera; Culicidae. The record is from RefSeq and is a predicted model, not a curated record.